Molecule: non-coding RNA, 69 nt
Organism: Rattus norvegicus (Norway rat)
Lineage: Eukaryota; Metazoa; Chordata; Mammalia; Rodentia; Muridae
Source: Rfam
GGGGAUUUAGCUCAGUGGUAGAGCACUUGCCUAGCAGGCACAAGGCCCUGGGUUCGGUCCCCAGCUCCG